Molecule: transfer RNA, 71 nt
Filed under: Loxodonta africana (African savanna elephant)
Lineage: Eukaryota; Metazoa; Chordata; Mammalia; Proboscidea; Elephantidae
Rfam family: tRNA
About the family: Transfer RNA (tRNA) molecules are approximately 80 nucleotides in length. Their secondary structure includes four short double-helical elements and three loops (D, anti-codon, and T loops).
Source: Rfam by way of RNAcentral
GCUUUGAUAGUUCAGUGGCGCACUUCUUGCCUUUCAUGUAGGCGAUCUGGGUUUGAUUCCCAGCCAAUGUA